GUAGGUAGCGGUCAGUGGUAGAGUGCUCACUUAGUAUGUGUGAGGUCCUGGGUUCAAUCCCCAGUAACUCCA
Molecule: transfer RNA, 72 nt
Filed under: Camelus ferus (Wild Bactrian camel)
Lineage: Eukaryota; Metazoa; Chordata; Mammalia; Artiodactyla; Camelidae
Rfam family: tRNA
About the family: Transfer RNA (tRNA) molecules are approximately 80 nucleotides in length. Their secondary structure includes four short double-helical elements and three loops (D, anti-codon, and T loops). Further hydrogen bonds mediate the characteristic L-shaped molecular structure. tRNAs have two regions of fundamental functional importance: the anti-codon, which is responsible for specific mRNA codon recognition, and the 3' end, to which the tRNAs corresponding amino acid is attached (by aminoacyl-tRNA synthetases). tRNAs cope with the degeneracy of the genetic code in two manners: having more than one tRNA (with a specific anti-codon) for a particular amino acid; and 'wobble' base-pairing, i.e. permitting non-standard base-pairing at the 3rd anti-codon position.
Source: Rfam by way of RNAcentral